AUACGGAGGGUGCAAGCGUUACUCGGAAUCACUGGGCGUAAAGCGCGCGCAGGCGGUCUUUUAAGUUGGAUGUGAAAGCCUACGGCUCAACCGUAGAACUGCAUCCAAAACUAUUAGACUAGAGUGUGAGAGAGGAAGAUGGAAUUAGUUGUGUAGGGGUAAAAUCCGUAGAGAUAACUAGGAAUACCAAAAGUGAAGGCAAUCUUCUGGAACACUACUGACGCUGAGGCGCGAAAGCGUGGGGAGCAAACAGGAUUAGAAACCCCAGUAGUCC
RNAcentral lists this ribosomal RNA (274 nucleotides) under uncultured bacterium. Its description in RNAcentral is "partial 16S ribosomal RNA". It matches the Rfam family "Bacterial small subunit ribosomal RNA", at positions 523 to 796 of the family's 1533-position model. The record is from RNAcentral.